Molecule: non-coding RNA, 170 nt
Organism: Penicillium ucsense
Lineage: Eukaryota; Fungi; Ascomycota; Eurotiomycetes; Eurotiales; Aspergillaceae
Source: the annotation of a GenBank genome assembly
GAGGGCCCUCUGGGUCCAACCUCCCACCCGUGUUUAUCGUACCUUGUUGCUUCGGCGAGCCCGCCUCACGGCCGCCGGGGGGCAUCUGCCCCCGGGCCCGCGCUCGCCGAAGACACACAAACGAACUCUUGUCUGAAGAUUGCAGUCUGAGUACUUGACUAAAUCAGUUA